RNAcentral lists this ribosomal RNA (273 nucleotides) under uncultured soil bacterium. RNAcentral's name for it is "partial 16S ribosomal RNA". It matches the Rfam family "Bacterial small subunit ribosomal RNA", at positions 26 to 281 of the family's 1533-position model. The record is from RNAcentral.
AGAAUCAACGCUGGCGGCGUGCCUCAGACAUGCAAGUCGAACGCGAAAGGCUCCUUCGGGGGCCGAGUAGAGUGGCGCACGGGUGAGUAACACGUAGGUAAUUUGCCUUUGGGUGGGGAAUAACUCAGGGAAACUUGAGCUAAUACCGCAUAAUGCAGCGGCUCGACAUCGAGACAGUUGUUAAAGCGGGGGAUCGCAAGACCUCGCGCCUGAAGAGAAGCCUGCGGCAGAUUAGCUAGUUGGUAGGGUAAUGGCCUACCGAAGGCGACGAUC